This 560-nucleotide long non-coding RNA is filed under the name Lepisosteus oculatus (spotted gar). RNAcentral describes it as "lncRNA (ENSLOCG00000021529.1)". Lineage: Eukaryota; Metazoa; Chordata; Actinopteri; Semionotiformes; Lepisosteidae. The record is from RNAcentral.
AGCAUAGCAUCUCCUCUUUCUCCGGAUCUGGGUUCCACACUUUUUGUAGGCUCAUGGAUCAGGAUCUGAUUGGACUCUUUUGCCUUUGCCUUUAAUACUGCAGCUGGGAACCGCACCCCCCACUAUGGCUCACAGACCCCGCUGCAUGAUGGGAGCAGGACCCCAGGACAGAGCGGAGCUUGGGACCCCAACAAUCCCAACACUCCCUCAAGGGCUGACGAGGACUACGAGUUCGGAUACGACGACGAGCCCUCUCCUUCUCCGCAGGGUUAUGGGGGCACACCCAAUCCGCAGACGCCUGGUUACCCUGAGGUGCCCUCUCCUCAGGUCAACCCCCAGUACAACCCACAAACACCAGGCACCCCUGCCAUGUACAACACAGACCAAUACUCCCCCUAUGCUGCGCCCUCUCCGCAGGGCUCCUAUCAGCCCAGUCCCAGCCCACAGAGCUACCACCAGGUGGCGCCCAGUCCUGUGGGUUACCAGAACACACACUCUCCUGCCAGCUACCACCCCACCCCUUCGCCCAUGGCGUACCAGGCCAGUCCGAGCCCCAGCCC